Molecule: ribosomal RNA, 1353 nt
Filed under: metagenome
Description: SSU rRNA
Rfam family: Eukaryotic small subunit ribosomal RNA
Source: RNAcentral
CCUGGUUGAUCCUGCCAGUGGUCAUAUGCUUGUCUCAAAGAUUAAGCCAUGCAUGUCUAAGCACAAGCUUAAACAAAGUGAAGCCGCGAAUAGCUCAUUACAACAGCCAUUGUUUACUUGAUCUUGAAAUCCUACUUGGAUAACUGUGGUAAUUCUAGAGCUAAUACACGCAAUCAAGCUCCGAACCUUUUGGUGACGAGUGCAUUUAUUAGAACAAAACCAAUCGGACCUCGGUCCGCCAAUUGGUGAAUCUGAAUAACUCAGCAGAUCGCACGGUCUUGUACCGGCGACGCAUCUUUCAAGUGUCUGCCUUAUCAACUGUUGAUGGUAGUUUAUGCGACUACCAUGGUUGUAACGGGUAACGGAGAAUAAGGGUUCGACUCCGGAGAGGGAGCCUGAGAAACGGCUACCACAUCCAAGGAAGGCAGCAGGCGCGUAAAUUACCCACUCUCGGCACGAGGAGGUAGUGACGAAAAAUAACGAGACGGUUCUCAUUGAGGCCCGUUAUCGGAAUGAGUACAAUCCAAACCCUUUAACGAGGAUCUAUCAGAGGGCAAGUCUGGUGCCAGCAGCCGCGGUAAUUCCAGCUCUGAAGGUGUAUACCACCGUUGUUGCGGUUAAAACGCUCGUAGUUGGAUCUACGUUCGUGGGGUCGGUGUUCUCGUUUGAGUUCUACUGACUACCUGAACUGAAACAGCUGGUUUUCCCUUGGUGCUCUUUAUUGGGUGCCCUGGGUGGCUAGCAAGUUUACUUUGAAAAAAUUAGAGUGCUCAAAACAGGCGUAUGCCUGAAUAGUGGUGCAUGGAAUAAUGGAAUAGGAUCUUGGUCCUAUUUUGUUGGUUUUCGGGAGCCAAGAUAAUGAUUAAGAGGGACAGACGGGGGCAUUCGUAUUGCAGCGUUAGAGGUGAAAUUCUUGGAUCGUUGCAAGACGAACAACUGCGAAAGCAUUUGCCAAGAAUGUUUUCAUUAAUCAAGAACGAAAGUUAGAGGUUCGAAGGCGAUCAGAUACCGCCCUAGUUCUAACCGUAAACGAUGCCAACUCGCGAUCUAGUGGUGUUAUUUAUGACCCGCUAGGGAGCGUCCCGGAAACGAAAGUUUUUCGGUUCCGGGGGAAGUAUGGUUGCAAAUCUGAAACUUAAAGGAAUUGACGGAGGGGCACCACCAGGAGUGGAGCCUGCGGCUUAAUUUGACCCAACACGGGAAAACUCACCCGGCCCGGACACCGUAAGGAUUGACAGAUUGAGAGCUCUUUCUUGAUUCGGUGGGUGGUGGUGCAUGGCCGUUCUUAGUUGGUGGAGCGAUUUGUCUGGUUAAUUCCGAUAACGAACGAGACUCUAUCCUACUAAAUAGCAA